AGUCGAGGGGCAGCAGGAUCUAGCAAUAGAUUGCUGGCGACCGGCGCACGGGUGAGUAACACGUAUCCAACCUGCCGAUAACUCGGGGAUAGCCUUUCGAAAGAAAGAUUAAUACCCGAUAGUAUAAUCAGACCGCAUGGUUUGAUUAUUAAAGAAUUUCGGUUAUCGAUGGGGAUGCGUUCCAUUAGGCAGUUGGUGAGGUAACGGCUCACCAAACCUUCGAUGGAUAGGGGUUCUGAGAGGAAGGUCCCCCACAUUGGAACUGAGACACGGUCCAAACUCCUACGGGAGGCAGCAGUGAGGAAUAUUGGUCAAUGGACGCGAGUCUGAACCAGCCAAGUAGCGUGAAGGAUGACUGCCCUAUGGGUUGUAAACUUCUUUUAUAUGGGAAUAAAGUUUUCCACGUGUGGAAUUUUGUAUGUACCAUAUGAAUAAGGAUCGGCUAACUCCGUGCCAGCAGCCGCGGUAAUACGGAGGAUCCGAGCGUUAUCCGGAUUUAUUGGGUUUAAAGGGAGCGUAGGUGGACAGUUAAGUCAGUUGUGAAAGUUUGCGGCUCAACCGUAAAAUUGCAGUUGAUACUGGCUGUCUUGAGUACAGUAGAGGUGGGCGGAAUUCGUGGUGUAGCGGUGAAAUGCUUAGAUAUCACGAAGAACUCCGAUUGCGAAGGCAGCUCACUGGACUGCAACUGACACUGAUGCUCGAAAGUGUGGGUAUCAAACAGGAUUAGAUACCCUGGUAGUCCACACAGUAAACGAUGAAUACUCGCUGUUUGCGAUAUACAGUA
RNAcentral lists this ribosomal RNA (784 nucleotides) under uncultured bacterium. Its description in RNAcentral is "bacterial SSU rRNA". It matches the Rfam family "Bacterial small subunit ribosomal RNA", at positions 60 to 838 of the family's 1533-position model. The record is from RNAcentral.